Molecule: ribosomal RNA, 492 nt
Filed under: uncultured bacterium
Lineage: Bacteria
Description: partial 16S ribosomal RNA
Rfam family: Bacterial small subunit ribosomal RNA
Source: RNAcentral
AGUGAACGCUGGCGGUAUGCCUAACACAUGCAAGUCGAGCGGCAGCACAGUAAGAUCUUGCUCUUACGGGUGGCGAGUGGCGGACGGGUGAGGAAUACAUCGGAAUCUACUUUUUCUUGGGGGACAACGUAGGGAAACUUACGCUAAUACCGCAUACGACCUACGGGUUAAAGCAGGGGAUCUUCGGACCUUGCGCGAUUGAAUGAGCCGAUGUCGGAUUAGCUAGUUGGCUGGGUAAAGGCCCACCAAGGCGACGAUCCGUAGCUGGUCUGAGAGGAUGAUCAGCCACACUGGAACUGAGACACGGUCCAGACUCCUACGGGAGGCAGCAGUGGGGAAUAUUGGACAAUGGGCGCAAGCCUGAUCCAGCCAUGCCGCGUGAGUGAAGAAGGCCUUCGGGUUGUAAAGCCCUUUUGUUGGGAAAGAAAAACAGCAGGUUAAUCCCCCGCUGUUCUGACGGUACCCAAAGAAUAAGCCCCGGCUAACUUCGUG